Fukomys damarensis (Damara mole-rat) is the source of this 303-nucleotide non-coding RNA. The record is from Rfam. Lineage: Eukaryota; Metazoa; Chordata; Mammalia; Rodentia; Bathyergidae.
UGGCGCCCAAACUUGGGGCUUAAAACACGGGGUCUUCACCUGGUGGACGCUGCUCGAACGAUAGGCCAAUCAACCCCAGGACCUCCACCCAGUUGGCGAGUUUGGCUCCGCGUACAAUCCGCUCAGACUGACCCAUCUGAGAAAGCGACCUGUGAGAUAAGUGAGCAACGCAAAAUAUGGGACAACAAUUAAAUAAGCAUCAGUUGUUUGUUAAAGGUUUAAAAUCUUCCUUUAAAGAUGCAGGGAGUUCGGGUUAAGAAAAAGGAUCUAAGUUUUUUAAAUUUGUAGAAGAGACUUGUCCUU